RNAcentral lists this ribosomal RNA (489 nucleotides) under uncultured bacterium. RNAcentral describes it as "bacterial SSU rRNA". It matches the Rfam family "Bacterial small subunit ribosomal RNA", at positions 30 to 512 of the family's 1533-position model. The record is from RNAcentral.
AUUGAACGCUGGCGGCAUGCCUUACACAUGCAAGUCGAACGGCAGCACGGGAGCAAUCCUGGUGGCGAGUGGCGAACGGGUGAGUAAUAUAUCGGAACGUGCCCAGUAGUGGGGGAUAACUACUCGAAAGAGUGGCUAAUACCGCAUACGAUCUACGGAUGAAAGCGGGGGAUCGCAAGACCUCGCGCGUCUGGAGCGGCUGAUGGCAGAUUAGGUAGUUGGUGGGAUAAAAGCCUACCAAGCCAACGAUCUGUAGCUGGUCUGAGAGGAUGAUCAGCCACACUGGGACUGAGACACGGCCCAGACUCCUACGGGAGGCAGCAGUGGGGAAUUUUGGACAAUGGGCGAAAGCCUGAUCCAGCCAUUCCGCGUGCAGGAUGAAGGCCCUCGGGUUGUAAACUGCUUUGUACAGAACGAAAAAGACUCUGGCUAAUACCUGGAGUCCAUGACGGUACUGUAAGAAUAAGCACCGGCUAACUACGUGCCAGC